Molecule: long non-coding RNA, 2094 nt
Organism: Xiphophorus hellerii (green swordtail)
Lineage: Eukaryota; Metazoa; Chordata; Actinopteri; Cyprinodontiformes; Poeciliidae
Exons: 3
Source: RefSeq, a predicted model, not a curated record
CAUAUCUUGUUUUCUUUAUGAUUUUUAUUCUAAAUUUCAUGUUUUUUAAUUUAUUUAUAUAAAUUUAUAACCUUAUAAGUGAAGCAAGUCAAGAAACAAAACAUUUCAAGUCAGACUCAGUUAUCUCACUCUCCCUGCUUCCCUCUGACUCAACAUCCUUUUUUUUUUUUUUUUUUGCAGAACCGUAACAACGGGUUGACGCGACAACCACCGCCUGCUCUACCGGCGCGACCUCACGGUUACCGGGGCAAUGGGGGAUUCCUGGCGCAGCGAGCGACGUGAUUGGCCGAGCCCGGCAAAGAGUUCUUAAAUGGGUCAAAGCAGUCAAGUGUCUCCACCAAGGAGGUGUAAAAUGUGUGUGCGCGUCUCCGAGUGUGUGACUGUGCAUCCAGGCAGACUGGGAACAGACUUCAUCAUCCGACUGCACAUGCAGCGAAAAGGAUCGGCCUGUGCGGUUAUAAAAGCGCCCACCCACUCCCUUCCUCUCCGACGCUUCCUGUCAGGCUCUGAUGUCCUUCGUUAUUUCAUCAAUUUUUUUUUGUUUUUCUGCUCCCUCCACCAAUCUCUCUCCGACUUGCAUGUUUGACAGUCACCCAUCUGUUUGUGCCGGGGCCGCGGAGGACAACACUGACCCCAAAUGGCCGUGAUACGAAAUGCUUUUCAGCGCUCUGAAAGCGCAUCAGAGGACUGAUGCAACAUGCUGCCAUAUUAGUGUGAAAGGAUCGGCCUUGGCAGGUUUUAUUGCACACGUCCAUCCUCAUCAGGUGUUGGGAUGCAUUCACCCAGUGCAGUUGCCCGAUGCAGAUCUUAGCGGCCAGCAGGGGCAGCGAGGGAUCGUCUGGUCUCAUCCUGGCACAUUCUUUCAACACAGACACAGCGGCGACCCACUGUGAAACACACACGCCAGAACGAUGACAAACUACCUCCACACAGUGGAUACACAAACAGAGAGGAAACUGACGUCCCUGGAAGACCAGAUGCCCAAACUGGACUGAUUAUUACAAAUAUUCAAAGAGUUCAAGAACUUUCCAAGACGGGAAGAAGCCAGAGGCGCUGAGCAACCUUGGGCUCGACGCCAAGCCAAAUCAAAUAAGCAGACAGCUGCCAACUGUCAGACAUCAUCCAUGUCUGACUUGAUUCCCACAGCAGCUAGUUUCAUAUCCCACAGAGAGGCCUGAGAAAGAGCCAACGGUAAAUAUAAUUCAGGGGGAAUCAAAACAAGCAGAGGAAAUCUAAAUCUGACAGUUAUUGGUGUAAUAUUCCUUAAUGUUUCAUGAGCAUGAGGUCAUGUCCGACUAUCAGGAAACGGAGAGGGGGGUGGUAACGACAUAAUGAUGAUGAGUGAAACGAGAUUACACCGAGUCCGGGUGUUGUGUUCUGUGAAUCUGAUCUAUGGCGAUCGGAGUGUAGCGACGAAUCUCCCUGACAAAACGCCAAAAUACUUUACAACUUUACCCCAAAACUGUCACAUUUCACUCUCUGAUGCGACGUUAAAGCAAGAAAAAUAGGAUUUCUUUAACAGUGACAAGCUCAAGUUAGGACUCAGAUCUUGGAAAAACACAGAGCGUUCCUUGACCCGACUAUCUACCCGAUCAAGCUGAUGGUUUCCAGCCGUGUCCCAUCUGCCUCGUAAAAUACUCGCCAUGCAUCUUAGAUCCACAUACAAGGUCAAUUUGGUUUUACUCCUCCCAUAACUACCAGGAAAGGAGCCUGAAGUUUGGUUUGCUUGUUCUUUUAUAGAUAGGUUGGCUUGAAAGGUGACUGAUGAACGCUACAGUAUAAAAAUGAGGUGACACUCACAGGCGUCCUUCAUUCUUACUGCAAUUUCAUAUAGAAUAAUUACACAAAAUCAUAUAUUUCCAGCAUUAUGUUCUAUUAGAUUUAAUGAUUAUGGCUUACGGCUAAUAUGUAUAUUUGUAUUUUACAGAUUUGAACCAGUGAAGCUAAAUCGAUGCCAUUUGAGGAGUUCUGGAUGGAGCAUAUUUACAGACAGGAUUUGUCAGUGUGGGGCAUUCUGGGUAAAUACAACUAAAACAAAUGGAGAAAUGACUCGUGGUAUUUUACCAAAUACAAAAGAGAAAUCCUACAACCGCU